GGGCGUAGGAGAUUUGAAGGAAGCUGACCCUAGUACGAGAGGACCGGGUCGGACGAGGCAAUGGUGUUCCUGUUGUCACGCCAGUGGCAUCGCAGGGUAGCCACCCUCGGACUGGAUAACCGCUGAAAGCAUCUAAGCGGGAAGCCAAUCCUAAGAUAAGAUCUCCCAGAACAUAAGUUCACUGAAGACCCCUUGAAGACUACAAGGUUGAUAGGCCGCAGGUGGACGCGUGGCAACACGUGGAGCCGAGCGGUACUAAUCGGUCGUGAGGCUUAACAUU
This 280-nucleotide ribosomal RNA is filed under the name Candidatus Omnitrophota bacterium. RNAcentral describes it as "Candidatus Omnitrophica bacterium partial 23S ribosomal RNA". It matches the Rfam family "Bacterial large subunit ribosomal RNA", at positions 2649 to 2925 of the family's 2925-position model. Lineage: Bacteria; Pseudomonadati; Candidatus Omnitrophota. The record is from RNAcentral.